Molecule: long non-coding RNA, 13629 nt
Organism: Pseudopipra pipra
Lineage: Eukaryota; Metazoa; Chordata; Aves; Passeriformes; Pipridae
Exons: 4
Source: RefSeq, a predicted model, not a curated record
AAGAUAAUGAAAAUAAUUAAUAGGUGCCAUUCUGAACCACAUGGGUCCUGUUACACCGGUAAAGGCGGAGGGAUCGCUGAAAGACUGUGGUGAUAAGGAUGUCCUAGUAAGUAAACAGUAGGUUUUCUAUCUGGUUCCCAGAGAACAUAUCUUUCAUUCGCAGGAAUGUAAUAAACUGAGUUCUUCUUGUGCUCUAUAAGCUAAGCCAACCUCAAUCAGUGCAAAUCCACUGCCCUCACUGAAGCUUCAGUUCUUUAUGGCAGCUGAAUGUCUGACUGCACCGCUUACUGACCCAUCAGACAAAUCCAAACAAACACUUGACAAGGUUUGAGAGUCUGAGCCUCAAAACAAAACCAGAGGUCUACACCAGUGCAAAUGAUUUUUCCCAAAUUUCAGGGCUAAGCCUGGAGCUACUGCACAGGUCAGGUUAUCAUAAGCCACCUUUUGUUUCUCCAAGGCUUUGUUUCUGCCCAUGUAAUUUGAGCUGGAAAAAUUCGAUCUUGGGAUUGCCUAAAGGAAACUAUUUGCUUGCAUUUCAUAGGCUCCCUGAAGUGUGGGCAGCACUGCUGGCCCUGGGACACAGAAACACAGAGUUGUGACAAGCUGAAGGGAUGUUGAUUUGGGCCACAGGUGCACAGCAGCUUCUAAUCUUCUGCCUGCAUUUAGCCUGAGGCUAAAACAACAGCAUUAGUGAUGCCAGCAAUUGUAAGCUUAGUCUUUCUCUUGACAUACCAUCUCUGCAUGAGGCCAGUGGCACAUACAUCCCAGCAGCAGAAUAGCUGUGCUCUCUGAAGUUACACAAGAAAAACUUCCUUCCAUGCGCUGAGCCUCACUUGUAGCCCACCUUAAUUUCCAUGUACUCAGUACCCAGCAGCAUUGCAGACCACAAUGAGGCUUGCUGCAGGGAGCAAGCAAUGUCUGAAAGGGCCACAGGGUCAUCACUAUGUCCAGGAAUCUACCUAGGAGAGCAGAAAAGAGCAAAGAAGAAAAUAAUAACAAAAAUAAAGCUAGAAAAAUGCAAAAAUAAAGCAAAAAAUGCCCAGAAAAUAGCAGCAAAGAAAAAGUGUUGGGAAUAAAGUUGCUGAAAAUGUCAUUGCAAAGGUCAGGGCAGGCUCAGGGAGACAAUAAUGGCAGGAAUACUAAGCACGUCAGGAAAUGUAAAUACGUUCUUUUCCCAAUGUUCAAAGAAGGAUAAUGAGAGCGAUGCUGGGGACAGCCACACACUUUCAGGGGGAGUAAAAGAAAUAAUGGACUCCGCGUAAAGCCAAAGUGAAUGAUGUUGGCUCUUGUUGCAGGUUGUUGAAGUUUCAGUGCAAAGAUUCAGCUGCUGAGGAUCUCAGCAGUGAGCUGAGAGAAGCGGGGGCUGCACUAGAGGCACGGACCUCAUUAUGCUGCCACUGUGGUCUCAUGGCAAGGUCAGGUAAAUGUCGCAGGUUGUAAUGAAUCAGGGCCCUUCGAUUCAUCAGCUAGCGGGUCCACCUGGGUGGGAAGCACCUGGAGAAGUGUAAUUUGAUUAAAAAUAGUGUGCAAGGACUAACAAAAGAAAAUCAGGCUUCACAAAUCCUAUGGGAAGUUAUUGUUACUGAAGUGGAUGACAUUAAGAGCUGACUGGCAGAUGCCGUGGGUGUAAUUUACCUGGCCUUCAGUGCAACCUUCAGUACAGAAUAAAUGAAUACAUUAAAUUUGCAUUUAUAUAGCUUCUUUUUGUCCACACACCACAACAAAGUACUUUGCAAACAUCACAUGGGACAUACAAAAGAUGCAUCCAUGACAAAUUGGGAUGAAGAGAUUAUUGGGAAAGUGGUCCUGGAGAGGCUGUAGACUGCAGUCAUGGAUGUCUUUUGUUGGAGGUGCAUGGUACACACCCAGAUACCCAUAGUCUGUCCAUAGAGGGUCACUUAAUUGGGACAUAAGCCUGCAGACCAUUUGGAAAUUAUAGAAGUGAAUUCUUGCUGGCCAACUCACGCAGCCCCUCCCUCUCUCCAAGGGGAAUCCCCAAGCAAAGGAUGUCCAGGCUGUCCUUUACCAUCUUUUGGCUUUUAGGGUGUACAUUGGCCUAAAGUAGCAUCACACCUCCCACAUCCUGCAGCAGCAGCUGGAGCUGUAUUAGUCAGUAUAUCCUGCUGCUGUUGAGGAUAGCUCAUAAUGAACAAGUCCUGUAGCAAAAUGCACAUAAAAGCUUUUUUACUUUUAAGUGUCCUCUGCUGUAGCAACAAGGUAACACACUGCACUUUACAGAAGCACCUAAAACCUCAUUUAGAAUUGAUCAUAAUAUUUUAAUAGAUGAUGAGGGUUUUUCUUCAGUGAAAAACAGCAGAAUUCUGUCCAGGUAGCUGAGAUGUUGUUUAUGUCAUCCUUAUCAAAGCGUUAGUAUUUAUUUUUAAUUUUUAUUAAAGAUGGUUGUUGCACAGUUCUAUGGCUGAAAGUAUUUCUGCAGUUGAACCCUGCUAGCAGCCAUUUCAAAGCUAUGAAAGGCAGGAGGGCGUUUUCGCACUAAAAAAAUUUCAAAAUCGUGAUUAAUGUGGAAGAGUUAAAGAUGACUGUCAUGGCUCACUAAUGAAACCAGCUUGGAAUUUCAAAUUGUCAUAUUAGAAAAAUCCCUAUUAAUUGCUCCCCAAGGCCUAGCACCACAGCAGGGAAGCUGAGGAUUUGUCCUGUCACCUCAUUGUCAGUAAUGAAGAGAUUAACUCUGCCGUCUUUCUCUCAAAUGUAAUGGCCAAAUAAUAAAUAGAAGAUUAUGGCACAUACAGGAAAUGGACACUGGAUUCAUAAAUGUUUUCUAGCUUUAGUUCAACUGCACUUUAAAAACUGUGGCAUUUUUGUUUUACUGUGAAAAAAAUGGGAGAGAAGUCCUUCAAGCAGUUUCCUAAAUUCUGGGAAAAUAAAGAGAGGCCCCAGGAAGAGCCUUCCAACCAUGGAUUCAGGAUAUAGGCCAAGGACUGUAGCUCCAUGACCCCUGUUCCAGCAGAGAGGGACUAUAAUUUUGUCUCCCUGUGUUCAAGCCCAGGACACCACCACAGGUACAGCCCCAGCCAGGCAGCUCAUGGUCUCUGCCCUCUCCUGCAUGAUGUAGCCUUUGCUGCCCUAGGUAGUAAGUCUCACAGGAAUUGUGUCAGCAAGGAUUUCAGCAGUGUGCUGGCAGGAGGUCUGCACAGUAUUUUGCAGUUCCUGGUUGUUGGUUUAUCCUGUGGGCUUACAAGCGUUUCAUUAUCUCCAGCACUACCGUAGUCCCAUGCAAGCAUGAGGCUAUGUCCCUCCACAGCUCCAGGUACUGCAGACUUAUAUGUGGAAGGAAUAUCUAUCAGCAACUUUAAUGGCUCUAACUAGCUUUUUUGCAAUUUCCUUGUAGCCACUUUUUUUGCUGUUUUAAAGCUGUAUAAAGUGCUUUGCCAGUAUAAAUAACGGUAACUUAAAAAUCCAUCUGAGCUGUCCCUGACUUAUUCCAGAAGCAUUUACUACAUGAAACAAUUGUACGAAAUUGCACUGGCAGCCAAAGACAAGCUGUCUCCAGAGUCUGAUUUUAACAGAUUAUUUUUAUUAGAAAACACUGGGAAGUGUCAGUGAGUGACAACUAGGAGAACUGGUUUAUGGCUGUCCUUUCAACAGCUAUCUCUCCACACUUACUCCACAUCAAUCUUAAAUGAGUGUCUCUUUCAAGGCUUGUCUCAUCUGCUCCAGUUUUAGAAACAACUUAAUGAAGUGGAUUUAUCCCCUCUUCUCCACAUGGAAGCUUGGCUAGUUCUGCAUUUAUGUAGUUCCUAUGCACAUCUCAACCUUGAUCUCCUUUUCCUAAAAAUAUGCUUAUCAGCCUUUUGAUGAAGGGUGUUUCCUCCUCCUUUUUCAUUCCUCGAGGCUAACAUCUCUGAGCUGUACUCAUGCUCUUCCACAACUGUUAAUUUUUCAUAGUUCAGCUUUUAAUGAGGUCAGUAAUGGUUGUUGCAGGAUAUUUGUGAUCUCACUGCCUUCACGUUUCAGCGCUGUAAGGCCUAGGGCAUGGUCAACAGUGCCGUUUUUCAGGAAGGUGAUGUGCCUUUUUCCCAGGCUUCCAGAAUUAGUUGGUGUAUGUGCAUAGUGGAUUCAGCAUAAGCUUCUGAGAUGGAGCUAGAGUCUGCCUAAAAUCCCCAAUACUACACAUAUAUUCAUUAACAUCUAUGUUGUUUUAUAGUACUCAGAGUGCAUUUUAAUGAAACUUGGCUCUUAACACGUGCCAGGCCUAGGUCAGGCUCUGUUCCCAUCUGCUGAAAAAACCCCAUACUUUUAUGAUGGAAGAAAAAUUUUUUUUGGCACAAUGCAAAGAUCUACUAGUGCCUUCCUUCUGUGUUGCAUUCUUUUCAGCAGAAAUAUUGAUAUUCUUGCUUAUAAUGGGGAACAAGGGUAUAUAAUUUGAACUGACUCAUAUUCCAGGAGAUUUUUAUACAGUCUGUAGGUAUUCCUCAGUAAUCUGUGUUACGGGCUGGCCUGGGGGCCUCUUCUCUCCAGCCCCUCUCUCACGAGGACUGGUUGCAAUUUCGACUUCUGCGCUCAGUCCCUGUCCUUCACUCUAUCUCUUGCGGAGGGGAUGGGGAGAGAGGGGAUCCACCUGCAUGAAGUGGAAAAAACCCAAACCAUUCUGCCAUCCUUUGAGGACCUGAGCUCCCUCUGUGUCUGCCUCACAGGGAGGAUGGGACAAUUCCUCAUCCCUCAGGACACUCUGACUCUCACAGGGCUUCACAGAAUUAUCCCAUGUGGCUGUGGUGGUUGUGCUGCAGCUUUCCACUUUAAUUGGGCUGCUUUGCUAAGUUUAUUUUUUUAUUCUUUAAUUUUGCCUCUCAGAUCAUCAUGCUGACCAGUUCUCUGCUCUCAUACUCAAUAUCCCACAAUUACUAUUUUAUAUAAGACAGGAACCUCCAGCAGAGUCAUGUACUCCUCACUGUCACCCAAACUCAGUGUGCACUGGAGAGUUUUUAGACUUGCACCCUGAAUCAUGUCUUGCCUCUCUUCCACCUCAUCACUGUCUCCAGUGCUAUCAGCCUUUCUCUCCCUCCCAGGAUCCUGGGGGCCUUCCCAAUGGUGUGCAUAUUUGCAUAUGACUGUUGCUCUCCUUUUUUUCUGAUGUCAACAAUUGUCCCAGAUGCUGCAGAUGUAUAUUGAGGAGCCCACUCAAGUCUAAGGUGACUAAAUGAUUUCAGGAAUAAGCCAUGACUGAGUUUCCAGGGGUCAAAAAUGGAAAUACACAUGUAGUGCAAGUCUUGCUCGCUUUGUAUUCAGUUCACUGUCAAAAGAUACCACUGCACACCAGAUUUGUAUGGACUUCAUGGUAUCACUGGCAUUCAUGUUUUUAUGCAUUGGAAUAAUUGCUGGAGUGACCUUCUAUUAGCCCAUGUAUUGAGCAGUUUUGAAAGAGUAAUGAAUUCCUUUUGACUCCCAAAAACAGAGAAGGGAAUGGUCUGCCUGGUGGCAUUAGCAAGAUGACUGAACAACCAGUAGUCCUCUUGUUACAGUGAUGGGAAGAAGGGAUGAGCUGAAGAGGUAAAUUAGCUCUUUUCGUAUUGGAAUAGGCGGCAUGUAUAAAAAAGAAAUCAUUCAGAAACAACUGAGACGGCAUUAAAAACAAAUCAAAGAUACACACAUUCACCUAUUCUCACAGAAAACCCUGUGAGAAUUAUUUGGCUAAUCUUGUCCCCUGCCCACCACUGGGGCCAUCAUUUGUCUUUGCUUUGUUCUCACCACAAAAGUGCAAAUGGGGUGAAAAAUGGCAGGAAUCUCAUAACAAACACAAGAGUAAUAUUCGGCUGCUUUAUAAAUGAAAUCCAGCUUUAUCGGUUUUCCUGCACAACAACACCCAGUGCUAUAUGCUCAGGCUCUGCCUCAUACACUGCCUGUUGGAAUAGCACACUGGCUGGGAAACCAUUUUCAGAGAAUAUCCAUGGUCAUUUUCUGACUUCUCAAGAAAGAUUUUAAACCCUUGCCCAGGCAAGUCAAUGCUACUGGGAACAUUAAAGUCUGUCUUUGGUCUUUCCAGGGAGUCAGUAGCAUGUAUCCGCAGAAAUUUGGUGACACCUGGAAGAGCAGAAACGUGCUUUUUAAACUGAUUAAUUAGCAACUAUUACUGAAGUGUUGGCUGGAUUGCGCAGCUGGCUGAUUAACCUCUGCAACAGCAAAGCCUGGAGAAAAUUCACUGCAGCACUCGCAGGCCCACGGAACACUGGUUCAUGGGGGCUGUCACACUCCACUGGAGAUAGACAUCUGCUGGACACCUGAGCCCAGGUUGCAGCAUCUAACUGUGGGGCCACACUGUCUCAAGCUGAUGGACCCAUCCAGUCAAGCCUGCCCAAGGCUGUCUAAGGCUUGGGAAGAAAAUGUCUCUAACCUUUCUUACAGUGGCAGAGCCCAGUCCCAGCCUUUACAUGCAUUAUUCUGUUUUGAUGCAUUGCACGCAGAGACCAAGGGAAGACAAGGGCAUGCUGACCAGUGUUUUUCCUCUUAGAAGCCUAAAGCUAGAGAUCAAAACCCAAAGCCAGGUGUUUGAGGCAAAAAGAUUUUAUUUCUUUAGGUAUUCCAAACUGCUGAACAUUACAAACCCAGCAUAUGUCAACAGUACUGCUAAUCCUCAGCAAGCACGUUGCAACUCCUCACUGUUAAUGGUAAUGUAUGCACCUUAGUCCUUAGGAAAAAAUAUCAUGUCAAUUUGAUGAGAUGUCUCAAAAUGCACAGCAGCCUAAACUUAUGUCUGAAAAUAUCCUGGGCUUAUAAUUUAAUUUCUUAAAAGUGCAGGACCUGAGUAUCUUCAUUCCAUUUCUAAUCCUACUGGUCUAUUAAUAUAUGUGUGUCCUGAAAAGUAAAAGAUUACACAGAAUCUUUCACCUUUAUUAUCUGAGUAAGAGAACAACUAUCUAGCUUGCCAAGAAGACUUUGCUGUGCACAGGGAGUCAAAAGGAGAAAUUCAGGCUGUCUGCAUUAACAUGUAAAGCAGUGCAAUAGGAAUAGAUCUGUAGAGUGAUGGAACCGGUACCACGGACCAAAGUUGACACUAUCCAUCGGAAUAUUUUACUUUGGAAGAGCUCCAGUCUGGCCAUGUCAAUGGCCAUUAGAGGCUGGAAUUCAUUAGGAAUGUCCCACAUUGUACAGUUAAGUUUCAUCUGAAAAAACCCAGUUUGUGCACUCUGUAAUUAUGCCAUGAUGCAAAACAAUGCAUAGAAAGUGAAGAGGAUUAAGAUAUUUGCUUUUAAAGUUUCCCCCAAUUUGAACUAGAAUUUGAACCAAAGAAGAAAAACUCCCACAAUAUUUGACAAAGCACAUCACAUAUUUCCAGUUCUUAUGCAGUUCUCAUCCAGCAAAAAAAAGUGAGGAAAGAGAAAACUCACAAGCUUGUUCAGCACCUGUUGUAGCAUCUCCUGUGUUUUCUGAUGCAUAAAUGAAGCAGAAAGCCAUCAUUUAAAAACGUCUCAGUGAGUUGAGCACAUGUAAAACUGCAUGAUGAAGUCCAGGAGCUUGUUGUGACAUUGCACAAGCAGGCAUAAUCUGUGACAGGGGCUUUUUAGCUCAAAAGUAUGGCUAUUUAGUAAAUAUGGCUCAGGAAAUCUUACUCUGUGACAUGAAAAGAGAAAUUUAGAUUCAGGUUCAGCAUUUAUAUUAAACAGUUCUCUCCUUGCUUUAUGUACCCAUUCUGUUACCAUCCAUCUGAUCUCCAAACUAAACAGGUGAAGUUGCAUUUCUUCUUCACGAGACUAAAGCAACACAUACCACACUGGUGAGCAUUAAAUAGGAAUUUAUAUAUGUCCUUGAAGAAAUGCAGAAAACCUCUGCCUGUAAGGACAUGGAAAACUGUAAAUGGUGAAAAUAAAUUUUGGUUGACAAGGGGCUGUAGGAUGAGACCUCUCUUCAAGGAAAAAUCCCAAUAAAUUAAAGGUGACUUAAAAAAGUUUUGCUUUUAAAAGGAGAUGAAUCCAGAGGUCUGUCUCACCAGAACUGCAUGUAGCAGGGAUGUCUCAACAGAAGUGUGCCUACCAGGGAACACGAAGAGCCUUCCUGCUUACAAGGGCAGAAACGACUCAUCUCCAUGUUCUUGCACUGAAAUUUCCUGAAAAAAAUGAGUCUCAUGCCCUUGUGAAUUUGCCUUGCAUCCUCAUGUUUCAUGUGAUAAAACAUCCCUGGAGGAUUUGGCUGUUUCUCCAAUAUGAUUUGAGCUGUAGCAGCAUCUCCAGGAAACUAGGCGCUGCCCAGUGUUCCAUCAGCCUUGCAUGCAGUGGGGAGAGCACAGCCAGCCUGAGCAGCUGGGUCAGUGCUGAGGGGUCAGUGCCUUCUGAGAUCCAUGAGAGUAAAAGUAGUUGAAUCUUAAGAUGAGAUACAUAAGGCAAAACUUUGUGACCUCAACCAUUGGAGCCUAGGUGUAUAUUUUGGCCAAAACCUCGCUGAAGAACUUAGGAUAAAGUUUGACUCCCUACACAGCAUGGCAGAGAGAGAGAGAGGGAAAUCAAGAGCAGGGCAGAGCCUGACUAUUGGCUGUCUGGGUGUCAGGGUCUGCAUCAGGGCAUGUAAGUACUUUUGAAGCAAUCCUGCAGUGAACAACAGAAAAAUUCAGACUCUGCACGUGUGUGCAGGUCAUAGAACAGAGGUCAGAAAGCAGCUUGGGAUCAUCUGGUCCCACUUCAAUCCACAGCAGGGAUAACCAAAGUCAGAGUUGGUUACUCAGGGCCUUGUCCAGAGAGUUACUGAAAAAUCUGUUCUCUCUCACAGAGAAUUUUUUUCCUUCCUCUGUCCAAAGUAUGCCUCUCUACAGCCUCUGCUUUUAUCUUAAAUUUUGCAAUGCCUCACAUUCAUCUGCUCCUCUGUCACAGGUGUGCUCAUCACAGUCGGCCCCAGCCCCAGGACUGUCCCAAGCAGAGCAUUUUGCAUUUGUUUUUGUUGAAUUUCAGGAUGUUACAGCCAGGAUGUGGUCCCACAGAUCCCCAGUCAGCCUUUUUUAGAGCAGACCUCAGCUGGUAUAGCUAAUGAAGGCUCACCAAAAUCAGCAGCAAGACCAUUAGGAUCUGUCUUUGCAUUUAGAGAAAAGUGCUAAUGGCAAGGCAGUCCUCUAGAGGAUGUCAAGAAAAAGAAAAAGGACAUGAAAAAAACCAUAUAAACUGUCCCAGUCCCUUCAGUCUUUUCUUGGAUGAUUAGACAGAGAACUAUGUUGUACUUAUUCACUGGGUACCAAUUUCUUACAAACCAUGGCUGCACACAAACACACACUACCAUUUAGCAGGGCUAAUGAAAUGAUCCCUGAAGCAAAGAACUCGAACCCUUGUGCUAUGAGAAAAGCAGUUGUGCUGUGAAACAGGAGGAAAGUGUCCACUCUCUGGGACCAGCCGCUUGAGGGAGCCAAGAUGACAUCCACUAAGAGACAGCAGAUUACAUAAGUAUUUUUGAAGUGUUUCAGCUGUAAUCACUGUCUUCUGUAAUGUUAAAUCUGUUGGGUCAGAAAACUCUGAGAGCCUCUGUCUCAGAUUUAAAUGGUUUUUAAUUUGGCUUCCCAAAUUAAAGAGACUACACUCUGUUUGUGUGUAGUCUGUUCCCUUUGAUAACUUUUGAUGGGGUGUGUGUGUCUCAGUUUCCAGCAGAUUUGAUAGCUGUUCAGAAAGCUUAACAUUAACUUCUACAGACUGCAUGAAAACAGACAGAAAAUAGUCAUGAAAAUAGGUAAAGUGAGGUCCUUUUAUGAAAUCAGUUAAUAUAAUUGGAAAAAACAUACAACUACUUGGCCUGCAAAUUUUCUUCUACUGUCUCUGUUUUAAACAUUAGAGACUCCACAAAGGAGAAAGUUAUAGGAAAGCACUUAUAUGCCAUAGGAAAUCAGGAUGCAGAUGCUCAUUUAGAUAUUACAUAGUGACUUUUUCAAUAUGGCUUGAUUUCCUCCCAUGCCCUCCAUACAACUCUCUCUCUCCAAGACCCAGGUACUAGUUUCUCUCAUCUCAUGAACUCCAACUACUAUUUUAAUCUUAAGCCAACAUUUUCAGGAAUAUUAUGACUCCUAGGAGAAAGCUCAGUGAUUUAACUUGUCCUGGUUUUUUAGCCAGUGGGAUUUACCGUACAGUGAAGAUUUCUCCACGCAACCAGGAGAAUUCCACAUCUUUGGAUCCCACAAGAACUCUUGCCUUUCCUAAUGUACUACAUGAUUCAACAGCUCCAGUCUGAGGGUAUUUGCAUUCCAGCCACCUCAAUGACCCUCCCUAUGUGAGGGCAGUGGGACCUUGUACCCAUGGUGAUCUUUUUCCCAAAGGACUCCAAGUCAUGAUAUAAGCAAGGAAGAGAGAAAACUAGGACUGAAGGUGGAUUUAUUUCUUGUUCACAUCAAAAUGCAGAGACUGCUCCCUCUAUCAGGACCACGGCAUGUAAAGGAGAUGUUAUCAAAAUGCAUCUUACAUCCUGGCAUGAAAAACUUGUGCCAGCAGAGACAUUCAGCCAGUGGACAGAAAGACAAAGUUUUCAUAUUAACAGAUACUGUACCAAAUAAAUCAAUCAAAAAUAACAAUGAAUGACAACAAUGACAUUAUUACUAUACACUGAAAUACAGCAGCAGCAAGUCCAGCCUACAAUGCCACUUCACUCCAAGAAUAACCUCAGAAAGACCCCACCUGAGGACAGGAAUAGGAUUAGCACAUAACAGAAGGAUGAUAAUAAACAUCAUGCCUCUUGCCCAGAACUAACCUCUCUUCUGAAAAGACAAACGGUAUUGGUUCAAGGGUAUUAAAACAAGGAGCUUUUAAAAAAGACCUCAUUUUGCAGUGCAUGUCACAUCACCUGAUGUAGUAAUUGCAUGCAGCUGUUAUGAAAUUGUUCCACAUAUUCCUGGAAAAAAAGCAGUAAUUGGAAGACUUUUUGGAUGUUAUUACAUGGCAGGUACCUCCCAGGGACAACAACAAUAGCUAUUCAUCUGGUGGCAACAGUCUCCCAUAGGGAGCUCGGAGCUGCCUGCAGGAGCUGGUGUGGACCUGGGAAGUUACGUGCUCCGGCUUUUUGCUGAGGAAGACAACACAGAAUGCCCCUCUUGGGACUAAGUGUCAAUAUAUUAAAGCCACCCCAACCACAUCUGAGAGGAGACAUCAGCUGGCCAAAGUGUUUGUCCCAGAAGAUGGGGGAGCCCAGCCCAGCCUUGCCAGCUUGUACGUAGGCUCCAGCAAGGAUAGCUGGCCUGGCCUCACCAGCGAGGACUCCCAGGACCAGCUUAACCAACCCCGCACCAUGAACUGACCUCCUACUAUUCUCCAUGCCAAAUGAGUCCCAAUCUUUGCACCUGAGGAUUAAACACCACCUGUCUGGAAAUCUUCCGACCAGGCAGUUGGGAGAAUAUCUUAAGAACAGCAGCACACAAUGCACUCUCAGCAACUCCCUUUGCAGCAGGUUGACCCUGGUCUCCUACCAUCCACUCCAUGCUUCACUUUCUCCCCUGUCUUUGAAGAGUGUUGAGAACAGAGGAAAAUCAAUGUGGCUUUGUGAAAUAAUUGUGGAUUUUGUUCUGAGCAGAGAACUGAAAAAGCACAUUAUAGAUAUUCUGGAUCAAUAGGAUUCAUGCAACACUUGACCUUCUCCUGUUAGCUCUCGUACUAAUGCACUUUCAUCUUUACCUCUGAUUUGGGGGUCUUUAAUGGGAUCUACUGAAAAAAUGGUUUUCUGUGGAAAGCAUAAAAGGGUAUAAUCUGUGAGAAACGGGAACUACUGGUUUUCACAUAAUCAUACAAAAUUAUCACUUUCCCUUCCCUACUAGAGAUCUAUAAACUUCUUACUCAGAAGUCUGACUGUAAUUUAAGAGUACAAAUAAGAAACACAAAAUACAAAAUAUAAAAAGGAUGGAUUUAGGUUAUUUAGAAAGCUGAUGCAUAGACAUUCAGACAUUUUCCUGGUAAUUUAGCAGUCACUUCAGGAGACAACAUAACAUUUACACUUUGCAGCAGAAAAAAGCAAAGCAGCCUGCUAUCAAAGGAGUUGUCUCCAGCACAUUUUCUGACUGAGGUUUGAUGGUUUUUUUUUAAUCCCCUCUCCAGGUGUAUCAGUCUUGGUGUGAAACAGAAUAAUUACUGCUGGUUUGUAAGAAAAGGUGAUAAUUUGAAGCACAUCCUGGGCUCUUUUUCUUGAGGAUAUUUAGUUGAAAAACUGUUCUUUUCAACUGCAGUUUUCAAUAUUGCUAAAUUACUAUACCAUUCAAUAUAGGAGUGACUGAUUUGCUGCUACGUUGUUUGAGACUACAUUUACGUGACUGCUUGUGUAUUUACACUUCUUGGAAAAUUCUUUGGCAGCAAAUGAUACCAUUGAUUUCAUACCAAUUUGUUAUUUUACAAGAAAGUUAAUAUGGCUUAGUUUGACUCUUUCUGUUCUGCAUUUACAGGGGCUGAGGGUUCAAAAGGGCCCUUGCUUCAUCUAGGUGAUAUGUUUCCUAUAAACAGAGCUGGUCACAGUUUCAGACUGAAUUUGUAGUAGUUACUUUGCCAGGAAAAACAUUUUGUCAUUUGUUUGUUUUUGUAAAUAAACACAAGGUUUGAUUCACCAGUCCACCUACACUCUGUUUUGUCAGUGGAGCCACAACAGAAGAGCACUGGUUUUAUAAAUGGAGAAUCAGGCUUGCUAUAGUCUAUUGCUAAGCAUCAUAUCUUUUCCAGUCCCUCUAGCUAAUAAAAUUCUUUAUUUUACAGUAUUAUUCAUCCCUCCCUGCCCUCCUCCAGUCCAGAAUAUUCCCUAUAGUAGCCUGGGUCAGAGUAGAGGUUUGCAUCUUAACAAAAGCAAUGGGGCACUUCUCUUCCAAAAUCCAACCAAGACAUCCCAUCCCAUUGCAUGUUUCUUACUAAGAAGCAUUUGGCUGGGUUGUACAGGCCUUAGUUUUUCACCUAAAGAUGCAAGGAAAAUCCUAGCUGAGAUUAUAGUGCUAUCUACAUUAAUUAUGUACCUAAUUGUCAUUGCUCUGGAAGAAGAGACAACCCCCUGAGCUCCCUGGAGUUCAGGCUUAUUUGAUGCUCGUCUGCACUGGCUCCUUCUGCUCGGUUGGCCGCGACUCUUACCCUGCCAAACAUCUCUAGCCCUGUGGCAGGGACGAGGCUUUCAGGAAAUCCUUUCUGAACAUCAGCCAUAACAAAAAAAAAAAAAAAAAACAACACCCAAACCAUUAGCAUCACACUUGGCUGUGACUGCUUGGGUUAAACUGCUCUACCUUCCUGCAACAUUUUAUUUAUGACCUUUUGCAUUUUAUUUCACACGGUCCUUCAGUUAAACAACAGCAGAGAGCGUAUGCAACUGAAGGCUGCUCUGGAGAUGAUGGAUGAGGCUCCCCACGCUCCCCACCGCUUGUAGCCCAUGAGUCAUCUGCUAAUUUCCUCAGCUAAAACUGACAGACAAUUACCUGGCAUUUCAUCACAGCCAAACGGAUUUUUUUUUUUCCCCCAGAGCUCACUGUCUAUCUUUUGAUAGCAGUGACUACAAAAACUGCUGCCUAAAACAUUGUCUCUCAAAGCUUUAAUAUUUUAUUGUUAUUGCUUUGAGUUCUUGCUACACAAUACCAGGCAUCUUGCAUCUUUGCUGCUCCAAAUCUUUUCCUGUAUCUGCUUCUUUACAGCACAUUACCCAAGAACUAUUCUGUUAACUGCAUUAUAUAAGUACUGGAAUAAAUCAUGUUAUUGAUGAGUA